RNAcentral lists this transfer RNA (75 nucleotides) under Pseudomonadota bacterium. RNAcentral's name for it is "Proteobacteria bacterium (groundwater metagenome) tRNA-Arg". It matches the Rfam family "tRNA". From Rfam's summary of the family: Transfer RNA (tRNA) molecules are approximately 80 nucleotides in length. Their secondary structure includes four short double-helical elements and three loops (D, anti-codon, and T loops). The record is from RNAcentral. Lineage: Bacteria; Pseudomonadati; Pseudomonadota.
GCCCCCGUAGCUCAGUGGAUAGAGCAUAGGAUUCCUAAUCCUUGAGCGCAGGUUCGAUUCCCGCCGGGGGCACCA